Non-coding RNA from Dermacentor albipictus, 539 nucleotides. The record is from RefSeq and is a predicted model, not a curated record. NCBI's taxonomy places the organism in Eukaryota, Metazoa, Arthropoda, Arachnida, Ixodida, Ixodidae.
CCUGUCAGUGCGGUGCCGAAGAACGAUUUCCUGCACCGGCCGGCUUCGAAUCCCGCAGCGCGCUACGCGCCGCCGCGGUUCCUCGAUCCCGCAGCUUGGGCGCCUCGCGAACACAUCGCGGCCCCGCGCUGCUCGUUACUUUUUUCCUCCCCCUUUGGCUCCUCUUGUCUUCUGCCACGUCAUUGGCGGCUGCGGCGCGGCUGCGACAGCCGGCGCGGCGAUAUCGGAUCUGACAUUCAGCCGACAGCCACUUUAACAGCCCGACAACUCCUUCCGAGGAAGAGAAAGAGGGGGAGAAAGUUCGAUGACAUCCGGAGAGGCUAUGACCUUGUGACAGGCCUCGCAUGCUACUCCAGCUGGGGAUCACGCGGACGCCGACUGCGAUGUCAAGGAGUUUCCGGCAAUGUACAGAGAGGUGCUUGGCUACUAUAGGAAAGAACGAAGAAAACAUCCACAACCCCACGGGUGCCUAGACAGGUCUCAGGCGGUCGACCUGGGACGGUUGCAGACGGGCACUUUCACCAACCCCUACCACCUGC